UUUGAACCUGUAAAUAUGGUAGGACAAGAGAUGAGCUUCAAGAAGAUACCCGACUUAAGUCUUCAAGAUGAUCUACAAGGUUACUACGGCAGAGGAUAGCAUGGGAAGUGCUUUGGAUAGGCAGUGCUGUGGUGGAUUUGUAGAAGUUUUCCAGUACUUCACUUUUCUGUCACUGAAAGGAAAAGUUUCAUGGAUGCUUAUGAUACUUUUGCUCUCGAGGUUACAAUUUUUCUAGCACAGUUACAGGCUACUGAACCUGGUGUUAAGCUGUGUGUUAGUCUGUUGGAACAGUUACAGUAGUCAAGUGACUGAGUCAGGCUUAUUUCACUUUUAGUUCUCAUCACAGAUGUAACAGUGACUGUCACUAUGCUAGUCUACUUAAUUAUUAUAAUAGUGUGUCGAUGUGCUCUGUCUUUGUCAUUCAAGUAGCAGCUGUUAUUUAAACGAACUUGACAAUGUAUGUGUUAUCUUAACUGUUUCUAGUGUGUGUAAAUAAUGUUGCAGUGUAUGCAGUCUACUUCCAAACUUCAUUCAACAACUCUACAGUGACUUUCAAGAUGCUGUAUUGCUUGAUAUAGGAUAUUUAGGCUAUACAAUCAAAUUCGAAACAUCGUCUGGUAUUGGGAUUUAAAAAAUUGUAACUAGAACAAAUGUUAUAUGGAUGUGUAGCUCAACUCCUUAUGAAUCUGUUUCU
RNAcentral lists this long non-coding RNA (694 nucleotides) under Amphimedon queenslandica. RNAcentral describes it as "uncharacterized LOC109591847". The record is from RNAcentral. Lineage: Eukaryota; Metazoa; Porifera; Demospongiae; Haplosclerida; Niphatidae.